Molecule: long non-coding RNA, 263 nt
Filed under: Setaria viridis
Lineage: Eukaryota; Viridiplantae; Streptophyta; Magnoliopsida; Poales; Poaceae
Description: long non-coding RNA (SVIR_LNC007056)
Source: RNAcentral
CUGAACCUCCCAGACGCCCGCAACCGCCUCAAAUCAGUCGCAAGUGAGCCACCGUUCCUGCCCGGCCUCUUUCCGCCCCAAGCCCGCCGGCGCUUCGCCGGGAUUUUGCCCGCUCGCCACCGUGCGCCGCCCGAGGACCCGAUUGCGAUUGAGAAAAUCGAAUCAAGGGCUUUAGUGCAAAAACCAGGGACCCCUACACAAAUAAAGUAUAGACGCAAGGGUUAGAUCGCAAGCUCACCUCGGUUUUUUGUUUUAUAAUCGGC